RNAcentral lists this long non-coding RNA (236 nucleotides) under Gossypium barbadense (sea-island cotton). Its description in RNAcentral is "long non-coding RNA (GBAR_LNC006951)". Lineage: Eukaryota; Viridiplantae; Streptophyta; Magnoliopsida; Malvales; Malvaceae. The record is from RNAcentral.
UUGACUUGGAAUUGGGAUGUUCUUGAUUCUUGUACCCCACCACCAGUCAUACUCAAGGGUCAUCAUCGGACCUGCGACGAAUCCUUUCAUUCUACGGGUUUGGUUCCAAGCGUUCAAUAUUUCACGAACCUUCUUUCUAUAAUUAUCUCCCUUGUAAGUGAACUCGCAUUGAGCCAACACUUGUGUCGCUAGUAUGAACUGCUUUGAUCGAUGCUGCCUUAACACGAGAAGUGGAA